Molecule: ribosomal RNA, 496 nt
Filed under: uncultured bacterium
Lineage: Bacteria
Description: partial 16S ribosomal RNA
Rfam family: Bacterial small subunit ribosomal RNA
Source: RNAcentral
AUUGAACGCUGGCGGAAUGCUUUACACAUGCAAGUCGAACGGUAGAGGGGGCAACCCCUCGAGAGUGGCGAACGGGUGAGUAAUAUAUCGGAACGUGCCCAGUCGUGGGGGAUAACGUAGCGAAAGUUAUGCUAAUACCGCAUACGAUCUAAGGAUGAAAGCGGGGGAUCGCAAGACCUCGCGCGAUUGGAGCGGCCGAUAUCAGAUUAGGUAGUUGGUGGGGUAAGGGUUCACCAAGCCAACGAUCUGUAGCUGGUCUGAGAGGACGACCAGCCACACUGGAACUGAGACACGGUCCAGACUCCUACGGGAGGCAGCAGUGGGGAAUUUUGGACAGUGGACGCAAGUCUGAUCCAGCCAUUCCGCGUGCAGGAUGAAGGCCCUCGGGUUGUAAACUGCUUUUGUACGGAACGAAAAGGUCUCUCUUAAUACGGGGGACUCAUGACGGUACCGUAAGAAUAAGCACCGGCUAACUACGUGCCAGCCGCCGCUGUAA